AAUGGAUAAGACCCGGUCUUAGUGUAUUGGUGUAUACGAGUUUUUUUGAAGUAAAAAGGAGCAAUAACGCCCCUCUUGUUUUAUCAAGAGGGCUGUAUUGCUCCUUUUUUAAUUUAGUAAAAUUUUCCAAGUUUUUCCAUUUAUUGAAAAAAAAAAAACGUCAUAUUUUUUGGUUGGUUUAUGCUAUAUUAAUAUAUAAUUUARAUAUAAUUWRCYWCCCUUAUUGAAUCYUUUUUAAAGGGGSGGGAUKGGCCAAUGGGAUCAGGGCUUGGAAUUGGGAAUCCCCCAGGGGCCCCAGUU
Molecule: unclassified non-coding RNA, 300 nt
Filed under: Platysace ericoides
Lineage: Eukaryota; Viridiplantae; Streptophyta; Magnoliopsida; Apiales; Apiaceae
Description: partial miscellaneous RNA
Source: RNAcentral